RNAcentral lists this unclassified non-coding RNA (429 nucleotides) under soil metagenome. Its description in RNAcentral is "partial contains 5.8S ribosomal RNA, internal transcribed spacer 2, and large subunit ribosomal RNA". The stretch from base 1 to 120 matches the Rfam family "5.8S ribosomal RNA", at positions 35 to 154 of the family's 154-position model. The record is from RNAcentral.
GAUGAAGAACGUAGUGAAAUGCGAUACGUAAUGUGAAUUGCAGAAUUCAGUGAAUCAUCGAAUCUUUGAACGCAUAUUGCGCUCUUUGGUAUUCCGAAGAGCAUGCUUGUUUGAGUAUCAGUAAACACCUCAAAGACUUCAAUUUGUUUUGAAUGGCUUUGGACUUGAGCAAUCCCAACACCAGUCUUUACGAUCGGUGGAGGGUUGCUUGAAAUGCAGGUGCAGCUGGACAUUCUCCUGAGCUAAAAGCAUAUUUAUUUAGUCCCGUCAAACGGAUUAUUACUUUUGCUGCAGCUAACAUAAAGGGAGUUUGACCGUAUUGGCUGACUGAUGCAGGAUUUCACAAGGGUCGGCAACGAUUCUUGUAAAACUCGAUCUCAAAUCAAGUAAGACUGCCCGCUGAACUUAAGCAUAUCAAUAAGCGGAGGA